GUGACCCCAGGAUGGGCGAGGCU
This 23-nucleotide ribosomal RNA is filed under the name Dendrobium crepidatum. RNAcentral describes it as "partial 26S ribosomal RNA". Lineage: Eukaryota; Viridiplantae; Streptophyta; Magnoliopsida; Asparagales; Orchidaceae. The record is from RNAcentral.